This is a long non-coding RNA of Salvia splendens (bonfire salvia), 670 nucleotides long. RefSeq lists it as uncharacterized. The transcript has 3 exons. The record is from RefSeq and is a predicted model, not a curated record. NCBI's taxonomy places the organism in Eukaryota, Viridiplantae, Streptophyta, Magnoliopsida, Lamiales, Lamiaceae.
GAAGGUAAAUUGAUUCAGUAGUUGUGUUGGGUGCUUUUUGGUAAAAUACAUCGAGGGAAUCCAAAACUAAAUGGCUGCCGAGAGGGGAGUCUCGAUCAUGAAUCGUUCAGUGACAUACACAGGUUCAAGGAUGGGCGUUAUACAUACAAGAGAGCUGUAGACGCAAGAGUGCAAGAGAUUGCCCCAACCGGGAAUUUCUGAGCCAGAUCUUUAUCAAUGACAUUUUUGGAGGUAAGCUCGAUAAAAAGAAAAGGAUGUUUGGAACUGGGAAUCUGGCAAAAAGCCUUGUGGGUGGCAGUUCAGCACGAACUCCAGGAUUGAUUGGCUCAUGCCCCAACCGGCUUAGAUCCUUCUGUGCGAGCUGAAAUACGGGAGGAAUUGCGCGAAUAAUUGCACCAAGAAUUGCUGGAAGAAUUACAAGAAGAAAUGCGUCAGGGAACUCAAUGCUAUCCGUGAACAAAGAACAAAGUUGGAAAAUGAUGUUGCAAGAGAUGAUGAAAUAGUUCAUGACGACAUCCCACAAGUCCAGCCACGCCUCUGACGGUUCUGUAGGGAUAUGACCCACGUAUUACAAACUUGAUAAGUUGUCUUUUCUUUUGAACAUCAUACAUUUCGUUGAUUGUUUUAACUACUAACAUUUAUACUUAUUAAUCAUAAUUUUUUUAUUAAA